UACGUAGGGUGCAAGCGUUUGUCCGGAAUUAUUGGGCGUAAAGAGCUCGUAGGCGGUCUGUCGCGUCGGCUGUGAAAUCCCGAGGCUCAACCUCGGGCCUGCAGUGGGUACGGGCAGACUAGAGUGCGGUAGGGGAGAUUGGAAUUCCUGGUGUAGCGGUGGAAUGCGCAGAUAUCAGGAGGAACACCAAUGGCGAAGGCAGAUCUCUGGGCCGUAACUGACGCUGAGGAGCGAAAGCAUGGGGAGCGAACAGG
Molecule: ribosomal RNA, 254 nt
Filed under: uncultured bacterium
Lineage: Bacteria
Description: partial 16S ribosomal RNA
Rfam family: Bacterial small subunit ribosomal RNA
Source: RNAcentral